Molecule: long non-coding RNA, 401 nt
Filed under: Ananas comosus (pineapple)
Lineage: Eukaryota; Viridiplantae; Streptophyta; Magnoliopsida; Poales; Bromeliaceae
Description: long non-coding RNA (ACOM_LNC017920)
Source: RNAcentral
ACUGCGUCGCACAAGUACAAGUACAUAACCAAGAUACAACCACUACACUGAACAUACAAACAUUCAACAUCUAUAUAUAUCCAUACACCAUUCACCACAGGUUCACAUUCAUGAUUUGAACAUAAAUUCACAACUAUUAGUCAAACGUUUCCAACUCGAAAACGGGUUUUGAAAUACUAAGUUAUGAAAAUCACGAAAAACCUUUUGAAAACUGUUUCCCACACGUAAACUCUUUUCUUUUUAAAACGCGCUACCACGAGGGGUAGAAAACCAUUUUUCAUUUCACAAAAUCCACAAAUCUUUUUAUUACAUUCAGAAACCAACUGAAAACUUAAAUAUUCAAACACAAUAAAAUAUUGAACCAUAUUAAGCUUUCUAAGUUAAAUCAACAGAAAUAAAUA